RNAcentral lists this ribosomal RNA (703 nucleotides) under bacterium. RNAcentral's name for it is "bacterial SSU rRNA". It matches the Rfam family "Bacterial small subunit ribosomal RNA", at positions 69 to 789 of the family's 1533-position model. The record is from RNAcentral.
AUGAAGCCUUUCGGGGUGGAUUAGUGGCGAACGGGUGAGUAACACGUGGGCAAUCUGCCCUGUACUUUGGGAUAAGCCCUGGAAACGGGGUCUAAUACCGGAUAGGACUGCGCAUCGCAUGGUGUGUGGUGGAAAGCUCCGGCGGUACAGGAUGAGCCCGCGGCCUAUCAGCUUGUUGGUGGGGUGAUGGCCUACCAAGGCGACGACGGGUAGCCGGCCUGAGAGGGCGACCGGCCACACUGGGACUGAGACACGGCCCAGACUCCUACGGGAGGCAGCAGUGGGGAAUAUUGCACAAUGGGCGCAAGCCUGAUGCAGCGACGCCGCGUGAGGGAUGACGGCCUUCGGGUUGUAAACCUCUUUCGACAGGGACGAAGGGCGACUGACGGUACCUGUAGAAGAAGCACCGGCUAACUACGUGCCAGCAGCCGCGGUAAUACGUAGGGUGCGAGCGUUGUCCGGAAUUAUUGGGCGUAAAGAGCUCGUAGGCGGUUUGUCGCGUCGGCCGUGAAAACUGGAGGCUUAACCUUCAGCUUGCGGUCGAUACGGGCAGACUUGAGUUCGGUAGGGGAGACUGGAAUUCCUGGUGUAGCGGUGAAAUGCGCAGAUAUCAGGAGGAACACCGGUGGCGAAGGCGGGUCUCUGGGCCGAUACUGACGCUGAGGAGCGAAAGCGUGGGGAGCGAACAGGAUUAGAUACCCUG